RNAcentral lists this ribosomal RNA (468 nucleotides) under uncultured bacterium. RNAcentral's name for it is "partial 16S ribosomal RNA". It matches the Rfam family "Bacterial small subunit ribosomal RNA", at positions 28 to 507 of the family's 1533-position model. The record is from RNAcentral.
GACGAACGCUGGCGGCGUGCUUAACACAUGCAAGUCGAACGGAAAGGCCCUGCUUUUGUGGGGUGCUCGAGUGGCGAACGGGUGAGUAACACGUGAGUAACCUGCCCUUGACUUUGGGAUAACUUCAGGAAACUGGGGCUAAUACCGGCUAGGAGCUCCUGCUGCAUGGUGGGGGUCGGAAAGCUUCGGCGGAUGGGGAUGGACGGGCGGUUUAUCAGCUUGUUGGUGGGGUAGUGGCAUACCAAGGCUUUGACGGGUAGCCGGCCUGAGAGGGUGGCCGGCGACAUUGCGACUGAGGGACGGACCAGACGCCUACGUGAGGCAGCAGUGGGGAAUAUUGCACAGUGGGCGGAAGCCUGAUGCAGCAACGCCGCGUGCGGGAUGACGGCCUACGGGUUGUAAACCGCUUUAGCCUGUGACGAAGCGUGAGUGACGGUAAUGGGUAAAGAAGCACCGGCUAACUACGUG